UUAAUAGAAUACAUAGUUUAAUCCGCGAUCUUCUUAAACACGGGAGUUAAAGUAUGUUCAUCUUCAACAUGAAAAUUUAGUGAACGCGAACAAGCUUGACUUCAAAAACUAAGGUAGAAUUCUUGGGAAUUCCUGGAAUGCUCUGGUUGCCGUAAGCCAUGGGAGCAGGAAUUGUAAUCUUACGCUCACCGCCUUCUUGCAUUCCAGCAACGCCGACGUCCCACCCGCGAAUAACCUCACCACGACCAAGGAUAAAAGCAAAGGGUUUACC
Molecule: non-coding RNA, 271 nt
Organism: Schizosaccharomyces pombe (fission yeast)
Lineage: Eukaryota; Fungi; Ascomycota; Schizosaccharomycetes; Schizosaccharomycetales; Schizosaccharomycetaceae
Source: the annotation of a GenBank genome assembly